CCUCAUGAGUCUGGGGCUGGGGGGCAGCGAGCUGGCCACAGAGGCCUUCCUGGGCUGCCGGCCUCUACAGCAAGGCAGCUUUCUGCAGAAAUCAGAGGAUACUAACUCGUUCAUUCUGUUUUGGUCUCCGGACUCAAGGGUAUUUGAACUGAAGACCAAUCGGCCACGGUUCUGUGUGGUACAAGCUGUGGUAGUUCGCGUUUGCUGAAAGCAGGUGGGCAGGUGCGCUUGGAGAGUCGCCAGCCCUCAGAGCUAAUCAGCAGCCAAGACGGGCCCCUGGAUUAAAAGCUCUCAACUAUCCUAAUUGAAGAAGACAAGUAUGAACACUAAAAGUCCUCUGCAAUGUAUGACAUCGAGCGGAGCUAUCAUUGAAGAACUUCCGUCGUAUUUGGGAGAUGUAAUGACUAUCCCAACCCUGAGAGAGAACCAGAAAAGGCUGCUUGUGAGGACCACGGAGCCGGACCCCGGUUGGGAAGUGCCAUGGGGUCUGGAGAACUUUCAGCCUGAUGGAGCUGGGCUUCGGUGGAGCCCCUCCCUCCCCGGGCGUCCCUCCUCCUGGGCCCCUGCCCUCCGCACCUCCCAGAAGUCAUUUAUCGGUUGGACUCUAAGAGUUUUUGAGAACGUGCGUUUGCUACCCUACCGAAGCCUUCCUUGGCCCCACCUGGUACCGCCUAAGCGGCCCUGAAAGCUGCUCUUUCUAAGGGUAUCAACCAUCCGUGGCCAUUUCCAAAGCCAAGCCACCUGCCAGGGCUGACACAGGAAACAAAACGCAGAACGAGACGACUUCUGGAAGAAGACAGACCCAACAGAGGCAGCUCGAGGCCAUGCCCGGCUGCCGCCCGACGUACACCAACGGCCUUCCAGAGUCCCAGAGAGGCCAACGUCCAAACCUCACAGCACGCCCUGAGCCUCACGAC
RNAcentral lists this long non-coding RNA (917 nucleotides) under Vulpes vulpes (red fox). RNAcentral's name for it is "lncRNA (ENSVVUG00000030255.1)". Lineage: Eukaryota; Metazoa; Chordata; Mammalia; Carnivora; Canidae. The record is from RNAcentral.